Podarcis raffonei (Aeolian wall lizard) is the source of this 768-nucleotide long non-coding RNA. RefSeq lists it as uncharacterized. The record is from RefSeq and is a predicted model, not a curated record. NCBI's taxonomy places the organism in Eukaryota, Metazoa, Chordata, Lepidosauria, Squamata, Lacertidae. The transcript has 2 exons.
UUGGGUUAAGAACUUUGCUUCAGGAUGAGAACAGAAAUCGUGCGGCAGCAGCGGGAGGCCCCAUUAGCUAAAGUGGUACCUCAGGUUAAGAACAGUUUCAGGUUAAGAACGGACCUCCAGAACAAAUUAAGUUCUUAACCCGAGGUACCACUGUAGAUCUGGAAUGUCACAGCUUGAUCCCAAAGUUCCCCACCCCUGGUUCAUUUUACUGAAAAUGUAUUCCUCCUCCUCUGCCAACCAUCAAAAUGGAUGUUUAAGGUGGUUAAGCAAAUCAGAGCCCUAGCAUUAUCUGGGAUAAUUAAAUUAAUUGGUAUGAUUACAGGUACUCGCUGUUACUAUAGCCUCACCCUUGCCUGCUGGCCGGAUGGCAAUUGUGUUACAGAGCUGCAGAAUCAGUCUUGCGGUUCAAGCGUGUUGCAUACAGACUAAACCUUGACAGUCUAUUGUUUUACAAAGCCAAACUGAUUUGUCAGAUUAGUAUCGUAUUAUGGAGCCGCAGGACCUAAAGGUGUCUCGCAUUGUGGCAUCUUAAGACCCAGCUUUUGGAUUGACUGUUUGUGGUGACAUUUUUGCUGGCCAGGUUAAAAUUGAGUGUAAGGGAAUAUGGACCAAUUAAUCCCCUCACCCAGAAGACCAAAGUUAAGAAUGAGGCUCUUCUAAAAAAAAGCAGAAACUUGGUUUACACUUGAUGGUUUACCACUGCAAGGUGCAACACUUUGUUUCAAGCAGAUACAGAGAUACUGUAUUAAAUAUCUGAAUGCAACACUU